Molecule: transfer RNA, 63 nt
Filed under: Peniagone sp. YYH-2013
Lineage: Eukaryota; Metazoa; Echinodermata; Holothuroidea; Elasipodida; Elpidiidae
Description: tRNA-Tyr
Source: RNAcentral
UUUCUUAAGGUGGUUAUACACAUUUAAUUGUAAAUUAAAAGAAACCAAAAAUGGUUAAGAAUA